Molecule: non-coding RNA, 195 nt
Organism: Pelobates cultripes (western spadefoot toad)
Lineage: Eukaryota; Metazoa; Chordata; Amphibia; Anura; Pelobatidae
Source: the annotation of a GenBank genome assembly
UCCAAAUAAUUACUCCUCCCCCUUUAUCCGCAGGCUUAAUCACUAUAUUUACGUCUUUUUGUAAGUCUUUCAACGCCUCUCUUUCUUCUUUCAUAAGAUUAUUUUGAUAUUUAUUUAGGGGUUUGAAAGACUUACAAAAAGACGUAAAUAUAGUGAUUAAGCCUGCGGAUAAAGGGGGAGGAGUAAUUAUUUGGA